Molecule: ribosomal RNA, 448 nt
Filed under: uncultured bacterium
Lineage: Bacteria
Description: bacterial SSU rRNA
Rfam family: Bacterial small subunit ribosomal RNA
Source: RNAcentral
AUGAACGCUGGCGGCGUGCCUUAAGCAUGCAAGUCGAACGGUUGAGUUGUUCCCGCAAGGGAGUAAUAAUAUAGUGGCGGACGGGUGAGUAGAAGCAAGGAACGUACCCUUUACUGUGGUAUAGCUCGUCGAAAGACGGGGUAAUACCGCAUGAGGUCUUACGAUCAAAGGGGUUAACCCCCCGGUAAAGGAGCGGCCUUGCACCUAUCAGCUAGUUGGUGGGGUAAAAGCCUACCAAGGCUACGACGGGUAGGGGGUGUGAGAGCACGACCCCCCACAAUGGCACUGAGACACGGGCCAUACGUCUACGGACGGCAGCAACUGGGAAUCGUUGGCAAUGGGCGAAAGCCUGACCACGCGACGCCGCGUGAGGGAUGAAGUAUUUCGGUAUGUAAACCUCUUUUGCCAAAUCGUCGAGAUUUGGAGAAUAAGCACCUACAAACUACGU